AUACGGAGGGUGCAAGCGUUAAUCGGAAUUACUGGGCGUAAAGCGCACGCAGGCGGUCAAUUAAGUCAGAUGUGAAAGCCCCGAGCUUAACUUGGGAAUUGCAUCUGAAACUGGUUGGCUAGAGUUUUGUAGAGGGGGGUAGAAUUCCACGUGUAGCGGUGAAAUGCGUAGAGAUGUGGAGGAAUACCGGUGGCGAAGGCGGCCCCCUGGACAAAGACUGACGCUCAGGUGCGAAAGCGUGGGGAGCAAACAGGAUUAGAUACCCUGGUAGUCCACGCUGUAAACGAUGUCGAUUUAGAGGUUGUGGUCUUGAACUGUGGCUUCUGGAGCUAACGCGUUAAAUCGACCGCCUGGGGAGUACGGCCGCAAGGUUAAAACUCAAAUGAAUUGACGG
RNAcentral lists this ribosomal RNA (394 nucleotides) under uncultured bacterium. Its description in RNAcentral is "partial 16S ribosomal RNA". It matches the Rfam family "Bacterial small subunit ribosomal RNA", at positions 523 to 916 of the family's 1533-position model. The record is from RNAcentral.